UACGUAGGGGGCGAGCGUUGUCCGGAUUUAUUGGGCGUAAAGAGCUCGUAGGCGGUUUGGCAAGUCGGGUGUGAAAACUCCGGGCUCAACUCGGAGACGCCACUCGAUACUGCCAUGACUCGAGUCCGGUAGGGGAGUGCGGAAUUCCUGGUGUAGCGGUGAAAUGCGCAGAUAUCAGGAGGAACACCGGUGGCGAAGGCGGCACUCUGGGCCGGUACUGACGCUGAGGAGCGAAAGCAUGGGGAGCGAACAGG
RNAcentral lists this ribosomal RNA (254 nucleotides) under uncultured bacterium. RNAcentral describes it as "partial 16S ribosomal RNA". It matches the Rfam family "Bacterial small subunit ribosomal RNA", at positions 524 to 776 of the family's 1533-position model. The record is from RNAcentral.